GUUUUUGGUACGAUGGUAAGCGCUUGAUCCUAACAAGUGGUAUUAUAGUCAAGGUCAUGGGUUUGAUUCCCAAGAGCAACA
This 81-nucleotide transfer RNA is filed under the name Datura stramonium (jimsonweed). RNAcentral's name for it is "tRNA-Val". Lineage: Eukaryota; Viridiplantae; Streptophyta; Magnoliopsida; Solanales; Solanaceae. The record is from RNAcentral.